Molecule: non-coding RNA, 2395 nt
Organism: Cyanistes caeruleus (blue tit)
Lineage: Eukaryota; Metazoa; Chordata; Aves; Passeriformes; Paridae
Source: RefSeq, a predicted model, not a curated record
UAUAAGUGUAUUAUCAGCUAUAGGUGCUUCCUUUGGAAUAGGAAGACCUUUUUUAAAUGGCCAAACUAGCCCGGACCAUGUGAAAGGAACCAGGGAGUCCCUUUUGUCCACAUGGAACUUUGAAGCAGCUCAGCUCAGUUUCAGGUGAUCCCUUUUGGCCAACUUGGUGCUUUCCCGGGUUCAGGGUUUAGUUUAAUGCUUGUAGGUGAGGCUGUCUGGGGUUUCCAGCUGCUUUCAUGGAAAGGAAGCCACUUAAUGAAAUAGUCCUUCCAACAAAACACUUCCCUUCUCAGUCUAUUAUUUUGAUUUAUUCCACUGCCCUUCAUUAUAACUUAGCCUGCACCAACAACCUGGAGUUGGAGGAGAGAGGUAGGGAAGCAGGAAGAAAAUAAUUCCUGAACACAGAGCCCUGACUCCAUCUCCUGCUGUAUCUUUAUUCCUUGGAUUAUUUUCCUCAUUGUGAUGCAUGGAUUUCAGGCUCUCUUUACUUGUAUUUGUAGUUACAUUUAUUUGAGUAAAAUUGUUGAUAUUCAGCAAAAAGAACAGUAAAUGCUUCUGCAUUUCAAUGUCUCCCUAAGUAUUCUCUCUCUGAGAUUUUGGAGUUUAGUUCUGCUUUCACAAAUGUUAUGUGUUUAGUAUGAGCAAAGUAUUGCAGAAUAGGUUUCACUCCCAUCCCCUGUGUCUGAAAUACCAUAAGUCAGCUGGGAUCCUAUUAAUGCCACAGAUGCUGUCCAAGACUGCCUGACUGUACCCUGUUUUUGGAGGAUGUGUGAGAAAAUCCAAUAGAGACACGGGACACAUCACCAUUCUGCACUCUGUGCUGAGUGAACUCUCCAAAGUCCUGAGGGCUUGGUGAGGAUUUUUUAUACAAUUAUUUGUGUGGAAAAGAGCAAAAAUACCCUUUGGAUCCUGAAGUGUUUCAUCACAGAUGGGAGCAAUAUUUUUCCCAGAAGUUUGAGAGUUCAUUUGCUGGUGUCCUUAAAGCUACAUGAGGGCGGGACUGCACCUCCAGAUCUGUGCCUUUGUGCUCAGCUGAAACCCCAGCAGGCUCUGCAGAAAACGACAGAACAAAAUAAGUGACUGCAGGAUGGGUUUCUGUGUUAGGCUUCUCUUCCCACACUGGAUUUGAGAUGGGGAGAAUCUAGGAUGUGCAUCUCUAAUAUGCAGCCAGUGACUGUGGUGACCCCAAGCAAGUGAACUGGAGGUCCAGGAGUUAUUCUUCUUUGAACCUGGGCCUAGUGAAACGGUUAUAGAUUUGAAUACAGAUUGCUAAUAAAAAGCAGAAAUGAAAUUUGUAACACAGCUCAAAAUGUCCAAAGAAGAGAAGGCCAUGGCUCAAAUUUUCCUUUCCUGACCACUUCACUUCCGAGUUCCUGAGUGCAAACCACCACGCUCACAGUGACCCACGUCUCACCGGUCCUUUUGUCCUGGCAUCAUCUCAGGGUAAGGAACACCUUCCACAUGGACAAGCAGCUCCUCCUUGGCUUCCAUCUAGGAAGUGACUAUUACUUCUUUUAGGGUCAGAUUGGCCUUUAAAGGCUGUCAACUGUUGGGGCUGUUUUCCCUUCUCACAAAAUAUGUCAGAGGGGAAAUUUUUGUGUUCUGAGAGUAGAAUGAGAUUCCCUUAAGGACAUCACUUUCCGUCUGAGUCUCAUCCUUAAAAGACAUUGAGAUAAUUACCUGUACCUAUUACAACUUACUCUCAUUUCUCCUUUCCCUCACGUCUUUUUUCAUGGGCUUUGUCUUUGUUGAGCUGCUUUUAUUAUUCAAGUCAGGUUUCCAAGAAGCAAACCUGUUCGGUUUGAAGUCUGUAACUCAGAUAAAUUUGUAUCAAUUGCAAAGUAAUUUUAAGUCAUCCUUGUUUUGCAGGCCUACUUCACUUGGUGCACUGGAAAGAAAAGAAAGAACAAGGGGACAACAAGUGGGGAUGUCUAAAGUUAGUUAGUAAUAUACAAUAAUAGAGACAAAAUUCUACUGGAGACAAUUUGUCCCUGUGGCUUAAAAUCUGCUUUAAAGCUGGUGAUAAUCUCUUACUAUCCUAGAGUGCCAGGAAGAGGGGAAAGAGCUGGAGCUGCUCCCCGGUUUGAUGGGCAAGGUAUCUUCUGCAUUGUCCCCUGGCACUUAGGGAUAAUUCCAGAAAGAUGUUGGCUACACUGAUGUCACUGACGUCCAUGGGAUUACUGAUGCCAGCAGGAGUCUGACAGAAGCACUGUGACUAGACUGAGGCUACUGGUGGUUUUUGGAGUGUGAGAAGAUUCACCAAGGUGAGCUACUGUCAUCAGGAGAAAGAGAAUAACAAAGGCAAACAGCUGGAAUCCUGGGUCACAGCCACAGUGGAAACUUCCUAUGGUAUUGAAGCAACGCUGAUGGCAGGAGUUGGACUCUUGACACUCAU